UUUUUUUAAAUAUACUACUGCGAUAUAUUCCAUCCCUUACAAACAUACAUUCAGUAUUCUAAGGCACAAGUUAACUAUUUGGAUAUAUAUCAGUUUAAGUUAAGUAACAAAAUAUAAUUAUUUUGCCUCUAUUCAAAAUAUACAAAAGUUGUCUUAUCCCAAUCCUUGUGGAACAUAUCCAAACAGGCGUUCAAAGGCAUAUCUUAAUCAUAAUAUGGGGAAUUGGGUUGGGGUGACUUCUAAUAACCCAAUAAGACUAUCACUAAUAGAUUUACACAAACAAUGUUUUGCAAACCAAUAAAAGUA
This 306-nucleotide long non-coding RNA is filed under the name Carica papaya (papaya). RNAcentral describes it as "long non-coding RNA (CPAP_LNC000847)". Lineage: Eukaryota; Viridiplantae; Streptophyta; Magnoliopsida; Brassicales; Caricaceae. The record is from RNAcentral.